GUUGUUUCAGGAGCUCAGCGCUCCAUCUGCUUGUAACCAUCCUCUGUGGAGGUCACCAUCCCCUCAAUAUCUGCUGAGUGAGCUGCUCACACGAUCAUGCCCUCACCCAUCUCUGUCAAAACAAGACAGAUAACGAUUUAUGGCUUUAUGCUAUGCAGUGUGAGAAACGCAUUUUCUGCUAUAAUGAGUGGAAACCUGGAUCUUCACUGCUGCUCAGGGUCUGCCUUUUUAUCUGCACUGUGUGGUUCAUGGUAUGUUUCAUCCUUCUCCUCCUUCCCCUUUUC
Molecule: long non-coding RNA, 284 nt
Filed under: Struthio camelus australis
Lineage: Eukaryota; Metazoa; Chordata; Aves; Struthioniformes; Struthionidae
Description: lncRNA (ENSSCUG00000001064.1)
Source: RNAcentral